UUCCUGAUGGCUCAGAUGGUAAAGAAUCUGCCUGCAAUGCAGGAGACCUGGGCUCGAUUCCUGGUAUGGGAA
RNAcentral lists this transfer RNA (72 nucleotides) under Capra hircus (goat). It matches the Rfam family "tRNA". Rfam says of the family: Transfer RNA (tRNA) molecules are approximately 80 nucleotides in length. Their secondary structure includes four short double-helical elements and three loops (D, anti-codon, and T loops). Further hydrogen bonds mediate the characteristic L-shaped molecular structure. tRNAs have two regions of fundamental functional importance: the anti-codon, which is responsible for specific mRNA codon recognition, and the 3' end, to which the tRNAs corresponding amino acid is attached (by aminoacyl-tRNA synthetases). tRNAs cope with the degeneracy of the genetic code in two manners: having more than one tRNA (with a specific anti-codon) for a particular amino acid; and 'wobble' base-pairing, i.e. permitting non-standard base-pairing at the 3rd anti-codon position. Lineage: Eukaryota; Metazoa; Chordata; Mammalia; Artiodactyla; Bovidae. RNAcentral also lists the same sequence under 2 other names. The record is from Rfam by way of RNAcentral.